Felis catus (domestic cat) is the source of this 85-nucleotide transfer RNA. It matches the Rfam family "tRNA". From Rfam's summary of the family: Transfer RNA (tRNA) molecules are approximately 80 nucleotides in length. Their secondary structure includes four short double-helical elements and three loops (D, anti-codon, and T loops). The record is from Rfam. NCBI's taxonomy places the organism in Eukaryota, Metazoa, Chordata, Mammalia, Carnivora, Felidae.
GCCUGGGUGGCUCAGUCGGUUGAGCGUCUGACUUCGGCUCAGGUCAUGAUCUUGUGGUGUGUGAGUUUGAGCCCCGCGUCAGGCU